ACUCAAAUGAAUUGACGGGGGCCCGCACAAGCGGUGGAGCAUGUGGUUCAAUUCGACGCAACGCGAAGAACCUUACCCAGGCUUGAACAGCGAGUGACCACGUCCGAAAGGGCGCUUCCGCAAGGACACUCGUAGAGGUGCUGCAUGGCUGUCGUCAGCUCGUGUCGUGAGAUGUUGGGUUAAGUCCCGCAACGAGCGCAACCCUUGUUUGCUGUUGCCAUCACGUUAUGGUGGGCACUCUGCAAAGACUGCCGGUGAUAAACCGGAGGAAGGUGGGGAUGACGUCAAGUCAGCAUGGCCUUUAUGUCUGGGGCGACAAACGUGCUACAAUGGCCGGUACAAACCGUUGCAAAACCGUAAGGUCGAGCUAAUCGGAGAAAGCCGGUCUCAGUUCGGAUUGUAGGCUGCAACUCGCCUGCAUGAAGUUGGAAUCGCUAGUAAUCGCGGAUCAGCACGCCGCGGUGAAUACGUUCCCGGGCCUUGUACACACCGCCCGU
Molecule: ribosomal RNA, 497 nt
Filed under: uncultured bacterium
Lineage: Bacteria
Description: partial 16S ribosomal RNA
Rfam family: Bacterial small subunit ribosomal RNA
Source: RNAcentral